RNAcentral lists this ribosomal RNA (253 nucleotides) under uncultured bacterium. RNAcentral describes it as "partial 16S ribosomal RNA". It matches the Rfam family "Bacterial small subunit ribosomal RNA", at positions 524 to 776 of the family's 1533-position model. The record is from RNAcentral.
UACGUAGGGCGCAAGCGUUGUCCGGAAUUAUUGGGCGUAAAGAGCUCGUAGGCGGUUUGUCGCGUCUGCUGUGAAAACCUGAGGCUCAACCUCGGGCUUGCAGUGGGUACGGGCAGACUAGAGUGCGGUAGGGGUGACUGGAAUUCCUGGUGUAGCGGUGGAAUGCGCAGAUAUCAGGAGGAACACCGAUGGCGAAGGCAGGUCACUGGGCCGCAACUGACGCUGAGGAGCGAAAGCGUGGGGAGCAAACAGG